RNAcentral lists this ribosomal RNA (261 nucleotides) under Triticum aestivum (bread wheat). RNAcentral's name for it is "partial small subunit ribosomal RNA". Lineage: Eukaryota; Viridiplantae; Streptophyta; Magnoliopsida; Poales; Poaceae. The record is from RNAcentral.
AUGGCGAUGUCAAUGAACAAGAAAAUGAAACAGUUACACCGGUGCCCAUACCCUAAGGAGUUGAGGAGGCAAAGGAACAGGGAGCGGUAUGCACAAAAUAGGUAUUCAGAAAAUGGUUGUACAGAGAGUUUCCAGAACAUUAUAGAUGGAUACCUGGAAAUAAGAAGUGGCAGAAUAGAAGAAAUAAGUGAUCACAGAUUGGAAGACUUGUGCAUGCACACCCUGCUGAAGGAGAGAGGUACUACUUGCGUGUGCUCCUAA